RNAcentral lists this ribosomal RNA (253 nucleotides) under uncultured bacterium. RNAcentral describes it as "partial 16S ribosomal RNA". It matches the Rfam family "Bacterial small subunit ribosomal RNA", at positions 524 to 776 of the family's 1533-position model. The record is from RNAcentral.
UACGGAGGGUGCAAGCGUUAUCCGGAUUUACUGGGCUUAAAGGGUGCGUAGGCGGGUAGGAAAGUCAGUGGUGAAAUCUUCGGGCUUAACCCGGAAACUGCCAUUGAUACUAUUUAUCUUGAAUACUUUGGAGGUAAGCGGAAUAUGUCAUGUAGCGGUGAAAUGCUUAGAUAUGACAUAGAACACCAAUUGCGAAGGCAGCUUACUACACAGUUAUUGACACUGAGGCACGAAAGCGUGGGGAUCAAACAGG